CUCCAUUAGUAACUGUCUUGUUGUUGCAGUUAAGAAGCUCGUAGUUGAAUUUCUGCCUUAUCAUUAAUUUCGCUUCCGAACGUAAUUUUAUUGAUUUGGCAUCUUCUGGAUUAUAUAUUAUUUUUAAUAUAUUUUUCCAGUAUUUUACUUUGAGAAAACUAGAGUGUUUCAAACAGGCUUUUGCCUUGAAUACUACAGCAUGGAAUAAUGAAGUAGGACUAUUGGUUCUAUUUUGUUGGUUAUCGAACCAUAGUAAUGGUUAAUAGGAGCAGUUGGGGGCAUUCGUAUUUAACUGUCAGAGGUGAAAUUCUUAGAUUUGUUAAAGACGAACUACUGCGAAAGCAUUUGCCAAGGAUGUUUUCAUUAAUCAAGAACGAAAGUUAGGGGAUCGAAGACGAUCAGAUACCGUCGUAGUCCUAACCAUAAACUAA
RNAcentral lists this ribosomal RNA (431 nucleotides) under Babesia vulpes. RNAcentral's name for it is "SSU rRNA". It matches the Rfam family "Eukaryotic small subunit ribosomal RNA", at positions 589 to 1040 of the family's 1831-position model. The record is from RNAcentral. Lineage: Eukaryota; Apicomplexa; Aconoidasida; Piroplasmida; Babesiidae.